This is a long non-coding RNA of Oncorhynchus nerka (sockeye salmon), 3013 nucleotides long. RefSeq lists it as uncharacterized. The transcript has 2 exons. NCBI's taxonomy places the organism in Eukaryota, Metazoa, Chordata, Actinopteri, Salmoniformes, Salmonidae. The record is from RefSeq and is a predicted model, not a curated record.
UAGCCCUAUGGUCUGUGAGGGGAGUAGUACAAAUAUUUGUAGUAACACACUCACCAUCAAUACAUUUGGAUAUAAGCCAAAAAUCUAUUCUGGAUUGUCUGGAACCUGUUUUGUUACUCCAAGUGAAUGAUCUUUCGGCCGGAAACCUCUCUCUCCAUAUAUCAGUAAGAUCAAACUUUUCCAUAAAAAGUUUUAAAAGUAUUAAAAGUUCAAUUCUGAUUGGUUGGCCUACCUGGGGGCCAUCUAUCAGUUGAAUUAUCUAUUGUAAUGUUAAAGUCCCCUCCUAUCAAUAAUAACGAAUUGGAAAAUGUAGAUAACCAAUUAAGUAUAUGUUUCUCUAUUCAAGCAACACAUCAUUCUCAUGUUUGGUGUUGUACCUGUAGAAAUUUACAGUAAUGAGCGUAAUGUCAUUGUAACUGAUCACAAGACAAUAAAGUGACCAAAGGGGUCACAUUCCGAGUGUAGAAUAUUACCACCAAAGGUAUUUUUCAUUGUAGUGACACCAGCAGAGCGUUCAGAUCCAUGGGAGAGCCAAAUAUCGUCGCCCCACUGUGACAUCCAGAAAUUGGCAUCAGCCAAAAUUUAGUGAGACUCUUGAAAAAAAGCAAAAAUCUGUUCGACAUUGUUUAGCAAAUAAAAAUAAGGCCUUGCGCUUCACAUUGCUUCGUAACCCCCUAGCAUUAAGAGAUAAUAUAGACAAAGACAAAACAAUAAAGAUUAUAUAAAAGUAUAAACUGUAGUAGGAUGAGUCAACGACGUAGGAGCAGUGAACGUAAAUGAUAAGGAACCGAGAUCUGCACCAUUUAAGUCAAUUUAAAGUGAAAAUAGCUUAUUCCAUAACCUUUGAGCUAGACGUUAUUUGGCUUUGAAAUUCAACUCAACUGGAAAUUAUGUUCAAGACCAAACAAAGGGUUCUUGUAGUAAGAGACUAAAAACCCUCUUUAGUGUAAUCAGGAACUAUUCUGAGAAAUAAAACAACAAAUAAUCAUUUAAAUAAAAGGGUAUCUACUAUUUUAAGUACAUAUGAAAACUGAUCAUAAAAUAAUUGAAUAACAAAAUGUUUUACAUAUAAACGUUCCUAAGACCUUUUUUGGAAAUAAGUAUUAAUAACUAAAUAGAACAAUCACCGUGUAAAGUCAGAGCGAAACAGACCAUGCUGGGGUUUGAGAAGUCAAUGAGCGAAGUGAAAAAUUAUUAAUUUGUUGUUAAUUUUCUCGAAAUCUAAAGGCACAACUUAGAUUCGAACCAAUGUCUUAAGACAUUGACCUGUUAUUACUCAGAACUCGUGAAAGUGACAAACUGACACGCUUUCAAUGUCGUUCCUGGUUCUGCACGAGUUUAGCUGACAGGCGUCGCAAUGACAUCGCCUACAAGUGUGAUCGGGGAUUUUCUAUUGGAGAAGCAGUUUCUGCCUAUCUGCAUACUAUAUGAAGCUCAAGCACUACACUACUAUUCUAAAAGAGGAACAGGAGAUCAAGCAGUAGAACCUUUAACGUGUCGAAAAGCUCACCACUGCAAGAAUCCCCCCCUUUCGCGUGGACGCGCACGCACUCAGUUCUUCAUUGUUGGGACUUGCUUGACCGCGCACGCACUCAAGUCUUCAUUGCUGCGACUUGCUUGCUAGUUGAGAUUUCUUAUCACGUUCGGCUGCGUUUCAUUUGAUUUACAUGUUGGUUUGAUAGCGGGGAGGCACUAGUAAUGGCUGCAGUUGUCGGUUUGGCUAUUUGUUUCAAGUGUAUAAGUCUAAAUAAGUCUCUGCCAAAAUUCGUCGCUCCCAUGUCUUAUUCGACUAGUUGUUGUUCUGAAAUGUUUGUUAGCCUAUAUUUUACUCCCUCUUAAUAUAACAAGUACAUGAAUUAUUAAUUUCGGUUUCCUAUCCUGUUUGUUCUAUAUAAAGUAUUUGACUCUGAUGUGUGUCACUGAAAGUAUUUGACUAGCCACAAAAUUAAGGAAAUUAGAGGGGGGGGGACGGGACAUAAAGAGGGAGUAAAAUGUAGGCAAGCAAUAAACAUUUCACUGUUGUGGGGGCUGUGCUUUGGCAAAGUGGGUGGGGUCUGCCUGUUUGGCCCUGUCGGGGUAUCGUCGGAUGAGGCCACAGUGUCUCCCAACCCCUCCUGUGUCAGCCUCCAGUAUUUAUGCUGAAGUAGUUUAUGUGUCAGGUGGCUAGGGUCAGUCUGUUAUAUCUGGAGUAUUUCUCAUGUUUUAUCCAGUGUCCUGUGUGAAUUUAAGUAUGCUCUCUCUAAUUCUCUCUGAGGACCUGAGCCCUAGGACCAUGCCUCAGGACUACCUGGCCUGAUGACUCCUUGCUGUCCACCUGCCCGUGCUGCUGCUCCAGUUUCAACUGUUCUGCCUGCGGCUAUGGAAUCCUGACCUGUUCACCGAAUGUGCUACCUGUCCCAGACCUGCUGUUUUCAACUCUCUAGAGACAACAGGAGCAGUAGAGAUACUCUGAAUGAUCGUCUAUGAAAAGCCAACUGACAUUUACUCCUGAGAACAACUACUAGUCAAAUAAGGAAGGAGAGUCCGCAACCUUGUGGGGCCCCACUCUUGGUGGUUCCAAACUUCUUCCAAAACUUGUGCCUCAACACAAUCCUGUUUCAGAGCUCUACAUGCAUUGUCAACUGUGGGACCUUAUAUAGACAGGUGUGUGCCUUUCCAAAUCAUGUCCAAUCAAUUGAAUUUACCACAGGUGGACUCAAAUCAAGUUGUAGAAUCAUCUCAAGGAUGAUCCAUUGAAGCAGGAUGCACCUGAGCUCAAUUUCGAGUCUCAUAGCAAAGGGUCUUUGUAAAUACGGUAUUUCUGCUUUAAAAAAAAAAUGUUCACAAAAUUCUAAAAACCUGUUUUUUGCUUUGUCAUUAUGGGGUAUUGUUUGUAGAUUGUUGAGUUUUUAAAAAAAAAAUCAAUUUUAGAAUAAUGCUGUAACGUAACAAAAUGUGGAAAAAGUGACGUGGUCUGAAUUCUUUCUGAAUGCACUGUAUAUUCUUCAAAUAAAUUCUACUGUAGAUAACAACA